UCCCUGGCAGUCCAGUAGUUAAGACUUUGCCCUUCCAAGGCAGGGGAUGCAGGUUCGAUCCCUGAUUGGGGAA
Molecule: transfer RNA, 73 nt
Filed under: Ovis aries (sheep)
Lineage: Eukaryota; Metazoa; Chordata; Mammalia; Artiodactyla; Bovidae
Rfam family: tRNA
About the family: Transfer RNA (tRNA) molecules are approximately 80 nucleotides in length. Their secondary structure includes four short double-helical elements and three loops (D, anti-codon, and T loops).
Source: Rfam by way of RNAcentral